This 301-nucleotide ribosomal RNA is filed under the name uncultured bacterium. Its description in RNAcentral is "partial 16S ribosomal RNA". It matches the Rfam family "Bacterial small subunit ribosomal RNA", at positions 509 to 807 of the family's 1533-position model. The record is from RNAcentral.
CAGUAGCCGCGGGAAUACGUAGGGUGCAAGCGUUAAUCGGAAUUACUGGGCGUAAAGCGUGCGCAGGCGGUUAUAUAAGUCAGAUGUGAAAUCCCCGGGCUCAACCUGGGAACUGCAUUUGAGACUGUAUGGCUAGAGUGUGUCAGAGGGGGGUAGAAUUCCACGUGUAGCAGUGAAAUGCGUAGAUAUGUGGAGGAAUAUCGAUGGCGAAGGCAGCCCCCUGGGGUAACACUGACGCUCAUGCACGAAAGCGUGGGGAGCAAACAGGAUUAGAUACCCCAGUAGUCCCUGUCUCUUAUAC